Molecule: ribosomal RNA, 184 nt
Filed under: Aureonarius infucatus
Lineage: Eukaryota; Fungi; Basidiomycota; Agaricomycetes; Agaricales; Cortinariaceae
Description: Cortinarius infucatus partial 28S ribosomal RNA
Rfam family: Eukaryotic large subunit ribosomal RNA
Source: RNAcentral
UGUGACCUCAAAUCAGGUAGGACUACCCGCUGAACUUAAGCAUAUCAAUAAGCGGAGGAAAAGAAACUAACAAGGAUUCCCCUAGUAACUGCGAGUGAAGCGGGAAAAGCUCAAAUUUAAAAUCUGGCAGUCCUUUAACUGCCCGAGUUGUAAUCUAGAGAAGUGUUAUCUGCGCUGGACCGUG